ACUCAAGGAACGAAGACUAAGAACGCCACGUCCUGUGGCAACGUCUUCAUGACCUACAUCCUGUAGG
Molecule: small RNA, 67 nt
Organism: Bacillus sp. FJAT-27986
Lineage: Bacteria; Bacillati; Bacillota; Bacilli; Caryophanales; Bacillaceae
Rfam family: Bacillaceae-1 RNA
Source: Rfam